GAGUUUGAUCAUGGCUCAGAUUGAACGCUGGCGGCAGGCCUAACACAUGCAAGUCGAGCGGAUGACGGGAGCUUGCUCCUUGAUUCAGCGGCGGACGGGUGAGUAAUGCCUAGGAAUCUGCCUGGUAGUGGGGGACAACGUUUCGAAAGGAACGCUAAUACCGCAUACGUCCUACGGGAGAAAGCAGGGGACCUUCGGGCCUUGCGCUAUCAGAUGAGCCUAGGUCGGAUUAGCUAGUUGGUGGGGUAAUGGCUCACCAAGGCGACGAUCCGUAACUGGUCUGAGAGGAUGAUCAGUCACACUGGAACUGAGACACGGUCCAGACUCCUACGGGAGGCAGCAGUGGGAAUAUUGGACAAUGGGCGAAAGGCCUGAUCCAGCCAUGCCGCGUGUGUGAAGAAGGUCUUCGGAUUGUAAAGCACUUUAAGUUGGGAGGAAGGGCAGUAAGUUAAUACCUUGCUGUUUUGACGUUACCGACAGAAUAAGCACCGGCUAACUCUGUGCCAGCA
RNAcentral lists this ribosomal RNA (509 nucleotides) under bacterium enrichment culture clone ALO1_GLFRUDD03GA5MH. Its description in RNAcentral is "bacterial SSU rRNA". It matches the Rfam family "Bacterial small subunit ribosomal RNA", at positions 9 to 513 of the family's 1533-position model. The record is from RNAcentral.